RNAcentral lists this transfer RNA (77 nucleotides) under Chryseobacterium sp. Leaf201. Its description in RNAcentral is "tRNA-Asn". It matches the Rfam family "tRNA". Rfam says of the family: Transfer RNA (tRNA) molecules are approximately 80 nucleotides in length. Their secondary structure includes four short double-helical elements and three loops (D, anti-codon, and T loops). Lineage: Bacteria; Pseudomonadati; Bacteroidota; Flavobacteriia; Flavobacteriales; Weeksellaceae. The record is from RNAcentral.
UCCUCCUUAGCUCAGUUGGUUAGAGCAUCUGACUGUUAAUCAGAGGGUCGCUGGUUCGAGCCCAGCAGGAGGAGCMA